Molecule: ribosomal RNA, 574 nt
Filed under: Rhodosporidiobolus ruineniae
Lineage: Eukaryota; Fungi; Basidiomycota; Microbotryomycetes; Sporidiobolales; Sporidiobolaceae
Description: eukaryotic LSU rRNA
Rfam family: Eukaryotic large subunit ribosomal RNA
Source: RNAcentral
AAACUAACAAGGAUUCCCCUAGUAGCGGCGAGCGAAGCGGGAAGAGCUCAAAUUUAUAAUCUGGCGCUUUCAGCGUCCGAGUUGUAAUCUCUAGAAGUGUUUUCCGCGUUGGACCGCACAUAAGUCUGUUGGAAUACAGCGGCACAGUGGUGAGACCCCCGUUCACGGUGCGGAUGCCCAAUGCUUUGUGAUACACUUUCGAAGAGUCGAGUUGUUUGGGAAUGCAGCUCAAAUUGGGUGGUAAAUUCCAUCUAAAGCUAAAUAUUGGCGAGAGACCGAUAGCGAACAAGUACCGUGAGGGAAAGAUGAAAAGCACUUUGGAAAGAGAGUUAACAGUACGUGAAAUUGUUGGAAGGGAAACGCUUGAAGUCAGACUUGCUAUUCGGGGCUUGCUCCGAGUUGCAGGCCAGCAUCAGUUUUUCGGGGCGGAAAAUCACGGAUUGAAGGUAGCAGUUUCGGCUGUGUUAUAGCUUUCCGUUGGAUACGUCCUGGGGGACUGAGGAACGCAGUGUGCUUUUAGCGAGGGCUUCGGCUCUUUCACACUUAGGAUGCUGGUGGAAUGGCUUUAAACGAC